Molecule: ribosomal RNA, 467 nt
Filed under: uncultured bacterium
Lineage: Bacteria
Description: partial 16S ribosomal RNA
Rfam family: Bacterial small subunit ribosomal RNA
Source: RNAcentral
GAUGAACGCUGACAGCAUGCUUAACACAUGCAAGUCCACUUGAAUUUGGGUUUUUACCUUAGGUUUGGGUGGCGGACGGGUGAGUAACGCGUAAAGAACUUGCCUCACAGCUAGGGACAACAUUUGGAAACGAAUGCUAAUACCUAAUAUUAUGAUAAUAGGGCAUCCUAUAAUUAUGAAAGCUAUAAGCGCUGUGAGAGAGCUUUGCGUCCCAUUAGCUAGUUGGAGAGGUAACGGCUCACCAAGGCGAUGAUGGGUAGCCGGCCUGAGAGGGUGAUCGGCCACAAGGGGACUGAGACACGGCCCUUACUCCUACGGGAGGCAGCAGUGGGGAAUAUGGGACAAUGGACCGAGAGUCUGAUCCAGCAAUUCUGUGUGCACGAUGAAGUUUUUCGGAAUGUAAAGUGCUUUCAGUUGGGAAGAAACAAAUGACGGUACCAACAGAAGAAGUGACGGCUAAAUACGUG